This 107-nucleotide small nuclear RNA is filed under the name Neotoma lepida (desert woodrat). The record is from RNAcentral. Lineage: Eukaryota; Metazoa; Chordata; Mammalia; Rodentia; Cricetidae.
GUGCUCACUUUAGCAGCACACAAAGUAAAGUUGAAAGAGUGCAGAAAAGGUUUGCGUGGCCCUUGUACAAGGGUNGCAUGUAGGAUUGCAUGGUGUAGAACAUUCUU